UACGAAGGAGGCUAGCGUUGCUCGGAAUUACUGGGCGUAAAGCGUGCGCAGGCGGCGCGUUAAGACAGGUGUGAAAGCCCCGAGCUUAACCUGGGAACUGCGUCUGAUACUGGACGGCUUGAGUUUGGGAGAGGGAUGCAGAAUUCCAGGUGUAGCGGUGAAAUGCGUAGAUAUCUGGAGGAAUACCGGUGGCGAAGGCGGCAUCCUGGACCAACACUGACGCUGAUGCGCGAAAGCUAGGGGAGCAAACGGG
RNAcentral lists this ribosomal RNA (253 nucleotides) under uncultured bacterium. RNAcentral describes it as "partial 16S ribosomal RNA". It matches the Rfam family "Bacterial small subunit ribosomal RNA", at positions 524 to 776 of the family's 1533-position model. The record is from RNAcentral.